Castor canadensis (American beaver) is the source of this 1106-nucleotide non-coding RNA. NCBI's taxonomy places the organism in Eukaryota, Metazoa, Chordata, Mammalia, Rodentia, Castoridae. The record is from RefSeq and is a predicted model, not a curated record.
GUGUCUUCUCAGCACCUCUCUCCACCUGUCGUAGAAGGGACAGGAAGUUCUCUGGAGCUAAUACCAUUUGACAUGUUAAGGAAGGGUGAAAUCCCAGAAGAUGCAGCCAGGACUGGCUUCUUCAUCCUUCCUCAGACUUCAGGUAAGGUUGCUGGCCAGUUACCUCUGGGCAGCUGCUGUGAGAAUCAUGUGACUGAAAUGAGGAAGGAGCACUUUCCAGAAGGAAGGGGGGCUGUUCUUGAAACCAAGCUCUGGGGGUAUCUCUAAAGGAAAAGCCUUGAAUCUUGCCUCCUGCAGUAGUGGGGAAUGUGGUCUCUGAGACUGGGUUUCUUGGUAUUGGAUUGCCGUGUUCAAGUUGACAUAUAACCAGAGCCAAGAACUCUGAGAGGCAACCUACCCUGCAGCUGGAAUGCACAACUCUGGGCAUUGGGGAAAGAGGAAAGACCACAGUUGGACAGGGAAGGUGUGCAGCUGGACCAUGUAAGUAAAUGUGAGCAUUGGGAGGAGGAAAGGCUGCAGACCCUGUACUGAAGCCAGGGGUUUCCACUGGGCGGUGAGUGAUGAUUCUUUUUUUGCGGUGCCUGUUGGUAAGUAUCAGAAAGAGAUUUCUGUGAUGAGGAUGAAGUGUGAUAUAUAAGCGCAGUUGGCAUUACUGCUCUCCUUGCUUUGUGCUGUUGGAGCGUGUGGAGCGGGACUUGCCAUGGUGACAGGACUCAUCAAGGGGCAUUAAACAUAUGUCUUGGUGGUCAUAUUCUAGAGGAUUGCUUCUACUUGCACCUGCAUUCCCAACCGUGCACCUUUUUACAGUGUCACCACAUCAGCUGUAGAGGUGAAGGACUGUAACGAGGAAAGCCAAUAGCAAAAGAAUCUCAGAGCACCCUUUCUAUGGGCAACCAUUGGGAAGAGCUAGGAGCACCGACGGUCUGCAGAGGACAUGGGACCAGACACUGUUGAGCAUAACACCAAGCAAGCGUGAAGGAGGUUGUCCUCCCAUAGCUGCUGCUUGCUCAGUUAAGGUGUUCAGCACUGAAGCCAGUAUGACGCCCAGGUUGGCAAGUGCUCUACCACUGAGCUGUGUUACUUCCCCAGCCCUGCUUUGUUUUGAC